RNAcentral lists this ribosomal RNA (279 nucleotides) under uncultured bacterium. RNAcentral describes it as "partial 16S ribosomal RNA". It matches the Rfam family "Bacterial small subunit ribosomal RNA", at positions 506 to 784 of the family's 1533-position model. The record is from RNAcentral.
UGCCAGCCGCCGCGGUAAUACGGAGGGUGCAAGCGUUAAUCGGAAUUACUGGGCGUAAAGCGUGCGUAGGUGGUUUAUUAAGUCAGAUGUGAAAGCCCCGGGCUCAACCUGGGAACUGCAUUCGAUACUGGCAGACUAGGGUGCGAGAGAGGGAGGUAGAAUUCCAUGUGUAGCGGUGAAAUGCGUAGAUAUGUGGAGGAAUACCAGUGGCGAAGGCGGCCUCCUGGCUCGACACUGACACUGAGGUGCGAAAGCGUGGGGAGCAAACAGGAUUAGAUA